UACGGAGGGUGCAAGCGUUAUCCGGAUUUAUUGGGUUUAAAGGGUGCGCAGGCUGGCUUGUCAGUCAGUGGUGAAAUCCCGGGGCUCAACCCCGGAACUGCCAUUGAUACUGCAAGUCUUGAAUACGGUUGAAGUAGGCGGAAUGUAGCAUGUAGCGGUGAAAUGCAUAGAGAUGCUACAGAACACCGAUCGCGAAGGCAGCUUACUAAGCCGAUAUUGACGCUCAGGCACGAAAGCGUGGGGAGCGAACAGG
This 253-nucleotide ribosomal RNA is filed under the name uncultured bacterium. RNAcentral describes it as "partial 16S ribosomal RNA". It matches the Rfam family "Bacterial small subunit ribosomal RNA", at positions 524 to 776 of the family's 1533-position model. The record is from RNAcentral.